UUGAAACGUAAAGUAUUGUAAAUUUUUAUUAUCCGAGAUAAUGAAUCCAUCAUACAUAAUUUUAUCGAUGAAAAUUUUAAUUAAAAACGAAAAAACAAAAUAUCAAAUUUUGAAACCAAAAAUCCUUAUUAAAUGGAAUUGACAAAUGAGAUAUCUAUCGGCUCCAUACUUCCUAAGGAGAAGUUUUAUCACCGGUGAUAUUGGUUUGAUAAGUGGUACCACCACCACUCCUCCUCCAA
RNAcentral lists this long non-coding RNA (239 nucleotides) under Eutrema salsugineum. Its description in RNAcentral is "long non-coding RNA (ESAL_LNC002093)". Lineage: Eukaryota; Viridiplantae; Streptophyta; Magnoliopsida; Brassicales; Brassicaceae. The record is from RNAcentral.